RNAcentral lists this transfer RNA (73 nucleotides) under Camelus bactrianus (Bactrian camel). It matches the Rfam family "tRNA". From Rfam's summary of the family: Transfer RNA (tRNA) molecules are approximately 80 nucleotides in length. Their secondary structure includes four short double-helical elements and three loops (D, anti-codon, and T loops). RNAcentral also lists the same sequence under 2 other names. Lineage: Eukaryota; Metazoa; Chordata; Mammalia; Artiodactyla; Camelidae. The record is from Rfam by way of RNAcentral.
GAGGAUAUAGCUCAAAUGGAAGAGCACAUACUCAACAUACAUGAGGUCCUGGGUUCAAUCCCCAGUACCUCCU